Molecule: long non-coding RNA, 626 nt
Organism: Nerophis ophidion (straightnose pipefish)
Lineage: Eukaryota; Metazoa; Chordata; Actinopteri; Syngnathiformes; Syngnathidae
Exons: 3
Source: RefSeq, a predicted model, not a curated record
UCAAAAUUUUACCGGUCUCGGAAUAUCCCUAAAUAAAGCUUUAAAGUGCCUUAUUUUCGGCUCUCUGCGAAGACACUGGCCAUUUCCCUGUGACGUCACACAGUGCUGCCAAUGUAAACAAACAAUGGGAAUACCACAGCAAGAUAUAGCGACAUUAGCUCGGAUUCAAACUCGGAUUUCAGCGACUUAAGCGAUUCAACAGAUUACGCAUGUAUUGAAACAGAUGGUUGGAGUAUGAAAGUAUUGAAGAAGAAACUGAAGCUAUUGAGCAAAUAGCUAUUGACGCUAUUCAUGGCCAUAGCAUGGCCGAAUAGCUGCGUUAGCAUCGCCGGUAAAAUGUGCGGACCAAACGAUCAGGACUUUCGCAUCUUUUGACACUGGAGCAACUUAAAUCCGUCGAUUGGAGUGAGGAUGGAGAGGAUUGAGCGCAGGAGAGUCCUUGCAGGAGCCAAGCAGACAUAAAGGAGAUGCUGACAGGACACAACAUUAUGACCGCCUGAUGAGAUCCAAGACAAGAAACAUUUCAAUUCAAACUGCUUCCACAGAGACAUCAUAUUCCAUUUGAAUGGACCCUCAGAGAAGUCAAUUAUAUCUAUUAGGGGGCACAAAAAUGGAUUCACAUCCAA